CAGAAGAGUGUUGCCACUCCGCCGAAUCGCCAGUUAGUGGUACCUGCAAAGUACCGGCAGGAGAUUCUGCGGAUAGGGCAUGAUGUUCCUUUAGCUGGACAUCUAGGGUCCCGCCGCACAGCCUAUAGGAUUUCACAGAACUUCUUUUGGCCAAACUUUAACCAGGCUGUGCGGAUGUACUGCAGCACGUGUGACACCUGUCAACG
Pelobates cultripes (western spadefoot toad) is the source of this 206-nucleotide non-coding RNA. NCBI's taxonomy places the organism in Eukaryota, Metazoa, Chordata, Amphibia, Anura, Pelobatidae. The record is from the annotation of a GenBank genome assembly.